UAAGGAAUAUUGGUCAAUGGUGGGAACACUGAACCAGCCAUUCCGCGUGCAGGAUGAAUGCCCUCUGGGUUGUAAACUGCUUUAGUCUGGGAAGAAAAAGCCUCAUUUAUGAGGAACUGACGGUACCAGAAGAAUAAGCACCGGCUAACUCCGUGCCAGCAGCCGCGGUAAUACGGAGGGUGCAAGCGUUAUCCGGAAUUACUGGGUUUAAAGGGUGCGUAGGCGGUUAUGUAAGUCAGCAAGUGAAAUUCCACAGCUUAACUGUAGGGACUGCUUUUGAUACUGCAUGACUUGAACCAAGAUGAGGUAGGCGGAAUGUGGCAUGUAGCGGUGAAAUGCAUAGAUAUGCCAUAGAACACCGAUUGCGAAGGCAGCUUACUAGACUUGAGUUGACGCUGAGGCACGAAAGCGUGGGGAGCGAACAG
This 425-nucleotide ribosomal RNA is filed under the name uncultured bacterium. RNAcentral describes it as "bacterial SSU rRNA". It matches the Rfam family "Bacterial small subunit ribosomal RNA", at positions 355 to 775 of the family's 1533-position model. The record is from RNAcentral.